Molecule: long non-coding RNA, 3076 nt
Organism: Betta splendens (Siamese fighting fish)
Lineage: Eukaryota; Metazoa; Chordata; Actinopteri; Anabantiformes; Osphronemidae
Exons: 3
Source: RefSeq, a predicted model, not a curated record
UGUAUUGGCAGUAACUUGUUUCACAUGUGAGAUUAGUUUGUGUUUGUUUUGAUGUAUUUGUCACGGAAACAAAGGUAAGUGCUGGUGGUUAUAUACUGAACUAAAAGACUGGAUUGAAAGCCGCUGUGUGAUCAUGUGACUAAAACAUAAAGCAGGAAAAGGGCAUGACAGAAUGGAUACCGGAAGUGCCUACAAAAUAAAACAGGAAAUGUGUGAGAAAACCCCAGACUGUGACAGUAUUUGAUGUUUCAUUCCCGCAUAUGUGUGUGCGCAGCCAGUGAGGGAUGAUUAUUUUAUGUUUGUUUCCUGUCAUUCAUUAAUUUAUGUACUUGCGUUUUUUUCUUUAUGUCUUAGUGUGUUAUGUAUAUGUUGUAGCUUGACGGUGGACAUUGUUGGAUUUCGGUGGAUGACAUAAGAAAAUAAGGAGCAACAAGCACAGCUCAUUAACCAGGCGGCAUAUGGACACCAGAGCGUCCACACGCUGGUGGCCACAUCGUCAUGUUACCUGACCAAUCCACCUGCAACCGCUAACAGAUUCACCCCUCGAUGACCUCUCUGCCUCCUCCGACCUCACCAUCGGCUCUGACACCUGCCCAGGUGUCAAUGCCGAUGAGUCCCCAGACUCCUUAGCUCCCUGAUCUGAGCUUAGAUCCUGUUUCACCUCUGUACUCCAACAAUAAUAUCGCCUGUUGUGCAACCAGUCUCUGGGUCUGAGUCUGCUCACUCUAAGAGCAUAGUUAUUAUUAUUAUUAUUAUUAUUAUUAUUAAAAUUAUGUUUGAUAAAAACAUAAACAUAACGUUGAUAAUUUACCAUAAAUCAUCAGAAACGUAAUGGAAAAAAAACAAUAAAUCAACCUAAACGUAAUGUUGAUAAUCGACCAUAAAUCAACGUAACCGUGACGUUGAUAAUUGACCAUGAAUCAACUUAAACGUAACGUUGAUAAACGACUAUUAAUCAGUGUAAACGUAACGUUGACAAUUGACCAUAAAACAACAUAAAUAUAACAUUGAUGAAAGACCAUAAAGCAACUUAAAUGUAACGUUGACGAUCAACCAUAAUGCAACAUUGACAUAACAUUGCCCCAUCAACGCUGAUUCAACUUUCAAAAUCUAAAUAUAAUCCACUGGUUGUUCAACCAUAAAUAUAAGGUUGCCUCAACGUGGUCUCAACCUGCCAGGUGGUUUUUCUUUCGGCUCAGCUCCCUCUUCACCGCGACGGACCGAUACACCGACCGCAUUACUGCAGCCGCCGCACCGACCCGUCUGUCAAACUCACGCUCCUUCCUUCCCUCACUCGUGAACAAGACCCCACGAUACUUCUACUACUCCUCCACUUGGGGCAGGAACUCUCCUCCAACCUGGAGAGAGCAAACCACCAUUUUCCGGUCGAGAACCGUGGCCUCGGAUUUGGAGGAACUGACUCUCAUCCCACCGCUUCACACUCAGCUGCAAACCGCACCAGCGCAUGCUGGAGGUCCUGGCCUGGUAUGUAUCAGUGAGUCGAUAUUUUAUUCACUCUUGGCAUACAGCUUGAUGUCAUCCAUGUAGAGGAGGUCCUCUCCAUCAAAGAGGGAGAUGUGAUGUGAAGACAGAACUAAAGACAGUUGACUUCAGGAAGCACCCAGCCCCGCCUCCCCCCUGUCAUCCUCUGUGACACCCCAGGGUAGUGGUGGGCGAUACUGCAAGCUUUGGUGUGGAUCCGAUACCAAGUAAAUACUGGACCAGUAUCGCCGAUAUCGAUAUCAAUAUCCAUAUUGAUACCAAUACUUUUUUAUAAUUAAUGCAUUUUCAUGACUUUUAGGUGUUUUGGGUUUUUCUUUUAUAUUGUAUUAUUAAUUUAAUAAAACCCAGACAAAGUUCAACAGUAAAUAUAUAUAUAAUAUAAAUUGGUGGUAUUGCCACUGUAUUUAACAUAUUGUAUUUAGGAUUAACAUGUAUUUUUUGCAGAUUGUACAAAUUGCCGUUGUUUCAUUUUCGGCUUGAAAAUAUAACCACUCUCUUUGCUUCCAUCCAUCUGCUUCGUCUUUGUCCACAUGCUUGUUUGUUUACUGGCCCAAGUCGAUUGAUAUCAAUCCUAGUGCUGUUAUCGUUAUUAUCGAUAUUAGUAUCGAUCUGCCCACCCCUACCCCAAGGACCUUCUGCUUCCUGGGAACAAUCAUCAGCCAGGACCUCAAGUGGGAGCAGAACAUCAGCUCCAUCACUAAGAAGGCUCAGCAGAGGAUGUACUUCCUGAGGCAGCUGAAGACGCUUCACCUCCCUGUGAUGUUGGUUAUUUGGUAAACCAGGAGCUGCACAUCUCCAGGACCCGGAGACGGGCAGCCAGCAUUGUAGCCAACCCCCUCUCAUCCAGGACAUGAAAACUUUCAGCCCCUACCCUUUGGCAAGAGGCUCCGGUCCAUCAGGACUAGGACCUUACGCCAUAAAAACAGCUUCUUUCCCAAUGCAGUCAGUCUAUUGAACAGUGCCCUGACCCCCCAACCCAAGGACAAUCGGUGCCACUCUACAGGUCACACCAUCCUAGACCACCUGCACACCCACUUCACUCACUGCACUAUUUGAAUUAUGCCAUGUUGUAUGCACCACCAGCCAAAACCAAGUCAAAUUCCAAGUUUUGUAAAGUACUCUCUGGCAAUAAAGCUUUUUCUGAUUCUGAUUCUGAAGAGCCUGAAAAAACGUUUUAAUUUGCAGAACGCACGGCAACCCGAGAAAAAUAAGAAAAAAAAGAAGAAACAAAAAACGCAGAGCCAACGACAAACUAAAGAAGAUUGAGUUAAAUAAAAUUCUCUAAAAGGGACUAGGGAUUACAGACUUCAUGCUCCUGACGCAGCUGUAAUCAGAGCAGACAUGUUUUCAUUAUUACUCAUUAUUUGUUUUGUCAAGUACAAAAAUAAUUAAAUGUAAAUAUAACAAAGUGAAUUAUCUUUUAUUAUGUAUUGCAAACCUAAGAUGUCACCCAAUACCCAAGGGAGUAUAACUAUUGGAUAAAUGUUUUUUCUUGGUGUCUUUAGCUGUGGUAACCUGCAGCCGCUUAAUCCCAGUAUUACUGCUAAUGUAUGUAUGAGUCUUAAGAAAUAUU